This 98-nucleotide small nuclear RNA is filed under the name Peromyscus maniculatus bairdii (prairie deer mouse). The record is from RNAcentral. Lineage: Eukaryota; Metazoa; Chordata; Mammalia; Rodentia; Cricetidae.
UUGACAGCACAUAUACUAAAACUAGAACCAUACAGAGAAGAUUAGCAUGGCCCCUACACAAGGAUGACAACCGAAUUCAUGAAAUGUUCCUUAUUUAA